UGGACUGAUGGUCCUUGCAUAGU
Molecule: microRNA, 23 nt
Filed under: Eisenia fetida (common brandling worm)
Lineage: Eukaryota; Metazoa; Annelida; Clitellata; Crassiclitellata; Lumbricidae
Description: Efe-Mir-1997-P2_5p* (star (passenger))
Source: RNAcentral